Molecule: transfer RNA, 72 nt
Filed under: Lipotes vexillifer (Yangtze River dolphin)
Lineage: Eukaryota; Metazoa; Chordata; Mammalia; Artiodactyla; Lipotidae
Also listed under: 1 other name
Rfam family: tRNA
About the family: Transfer RNA (tRNA) molecules are approximately 80 nucleotides in length. Their secondary structure includes four short double-helical elements and three loops (D, anti-codon, and T loops).
Source: Rfam by way of RNAcentral
UCCCUGGUGGUCUAGUGGUUAGGAUUCGGCGCUUUCACUGCCGUGGCCUGGGUUCAAUCCCUGGUCAGGGAA